Long non-coding RNA from Oxyura jamaicensis (ruddy duck), 1500 nucleotides. RefSeq lists it as uncharacterized. The transcript is spliced from 5 exons. Lineage: Eukaryota; Metazoa; Chordata; Aves; Anseriformes; Anatidae. The record is from RefSeq and is a predicted model, not a curated record.
UGAGCCUGCAUGAGCCUCGUGUAGUCAGGGGGCCUUGGAGGGUGUUUUGGAGUACUCUGGAGCUUCAUCUGAGACUGGGAAGCCACCUUCUCCUGUGCAGGAAAAGGAAAGGAGCUGACAGACUCAACACAACAAGCUUCUCUGACCAGUGACAGCAUGCAGGACUAAAAACCCAGAGGAGUGUGCCCUCCAGAAAACUUGUGAACAAAUAACGUCUCCAGAAGAUGUCUGAUGUAGUGUAAACAAUGGCAGAAGCAGGCCAAGCUGGAGGGGGGAAAAAAAAGGAAAUGAAGAUUUGCUGCUGAAGGGUUUUGGGGCUGAUCUGGCACUGUUGGCAUUGGAGCAUCCUUGGGAAAACUUACACAGCCCACAUUGUUGACUGAGCUUUGGGGGCAGCCAAGUGUGACAGAGGAAAGGGAAGGAAUAGCUGUGCUAUGGCAUCCCCCAGCCAUUUCCACAGUGCUUGUCUUUGUUUCUUUUGAUGUGCCUUAGGACAGCAGAUACCCUGAAGGAAAUUUGCUUUGUCUCUUCAGCUCAAAGUCUGAGUGAAACUGGUCAAAUAUAGCUGUGGUUUUCUUUAGACUCACCUUACGGUUGGUGGUAUUGCUGUAUUUUAAGAUACAGGUAUUGCUGUAUUUAAGAUAUGUACCUUAAACGAAUGGAACAAAAUCCUCAUAAUAAGUGUAACCAAACAUGGGAACAGUUGCCCAGAGAAGCUGUGGGAUCUGCUUCCUUGGAGAUGGUCAAAACUCAACUGGGGAAGAUCCUGAGUCAUCUUAGACGAAGUUGGCCCUGAUCUCAGCAGGAGCCUGGAUCAGAUGAGCCUGAGAGGUUGCUUCCAUGAUGCUACGUGCCAUGAUGGUCAGGAGAACUGGUUCACCCCUCCAGCUGGAGGGGAAGGGGGGCUGCACACAGAGUGCACCGACCCAGCCACUCCCAUUUCAAAAGCACUUGGGCUAAGUGUGAAUUUUGUAGGCAAGAACAGGCAUUAGAUGAACCCCUUGAACCAGGGCUAAUAGCAGGAGGUGAAACACAUCCAUCAAGUAAGGCGCAAACAUUUUUUUUUCAAGGUACCAAAACAAUUCAUGGCUAUUAAAGAUAACAAAAGGAAGAUAGAGAAAGAGCAGCUGUCUGACUUGUCAAGGAAGAUAUGAUUUGCUCCAGGACAGCAGAUAUCAAUAGUUAUUUGGGAGCCUGAAAUGCAAUGUACCUGCUUUAAAUUGGAAUCUUCCCCUCAGCCCCCCCAACUCAUCUUGCAGUAUGUUUCAAUAAAAGCCAAUUUACCUGAUCCUGUGGCAAAGUGCUUUUAGGUAUGGCUCAUCAUCUGCACAAGGGCAAGCAGAGGUUGUGCGUUUCAAGCACGUCAUCCCACAUUUCCAGUCCUCUAGCCUCAGCACGCCAUUAUUUUUGAACAUACUCAAAGAUUUAGACAGAUGGGAAUGUGCCUUUGCUGCUGCUCGUCUGCAGUGACCUUGUCAUUACACCACCGCGUGUCCCUGG